Molecule: unclassified non-coding RNA, 378 nt
Filed under: plant metagenome
Description: partial contains 5.8S ribosomal RNA, internal transcribed spacer 2, and large subunit ribosomal RNA
Rfam family: 5.8S ribosomal RNA (bases 1-105)
Source: RNAcentral
GAAAUGCGAUAAGUAAUGUGAAUUGCAGAAUUCAGUGAAUCAUCGAAUCUUUGAACGCACCUUGCGCUCCUUGGUAUUCCUUGGAGCAUGCCUGUUUGAGUAUCAUGAAAUCUUCAAAGUAAAUCUUUUGUUAACUCAAUUGGUUUCUACUUUGGUAUUGGAGGUCUUUGCAGCUUCACACCUGCUCCUCUUUGUUCAUUAGCUGGAUCUCAGUGUUAUGCUUGGUUCCACUCGGCGUGAUAAGUUAUCUAUUGCUGAGGACACUGUAAAAGGUGGCCAAGGUAAAUGCAGAUGAACCGCUUCUAAUAGUCCAUUGACUUGGACAAUACUUUUAUGAUCUGAUCUCAAAUCAGGUAGGACUACCCGCUGAACUUAAGC